This 459-nucleotide ribosomal RNA is filed under the name uncultured bacterium. RNAcentral's name for it is "partial 16S ribosomal RNA". It matches the Rfam family "Bacterial small subunit ribosomal RNA", at positions 338 to 795 of the family's 1533-position model. The record is from RNAcentral.
CCUACGGGUGGCAGCAGUGAGGAAUAUUGGUCAAUGGCCGCGAGCCUGAACCAGCCAAGUCGCGUGAGGGAAGACGGCCCUAUGGGUUGUAAACCUCUUUUGUCGGGGAGCAAAAGGCGCCACGCGUGGCGUUCCGAGAGUACCCGAAGAAAAAGCAUCGGCUAACUCCGUGCCAGUAGCCGCGGUAAUACGGAGGAUGCGAGCGUUAUCCGGAUUUAUUGGGUUUAAAGGGUGCGCAGGCGGAAGAUCAAGUCAGCGGUAAAAUUGAGGGGCUCAACCCCGUACCGCCGUUGAAACUGGGUCUCUUGAGUGCGCGAGAAGUAUGCGGAAUGCGUGGUGUAGCGGUGAAAUGCAUAGAUAUCACGCAGAACUCCGAUUGCGAAGGCAGCAUACCGGCGCUCAACUGACGCUCAUGCACGAAAGCGUGGGUAUCGAACAGGAUUAGAUACCCUUGUAGUC